Molecule: ribosomal RNA, 324 nt
Filed under: uncultured eukaryote
Lineage: Eukaryota
Description: partial 18S ribosomal RNA
Rfam family: Eukaryotic small subunit ribosomal RNA
Source: RNAcentral
CCCUUAGAUGUCCUGGGCCGCACGCGCGCUACACUGACAUGUUCAACAAGCCUCCUAGUUCGACAGGAUUUGGGAAAUCUUUGAACGCAUGUCGUGAUAGGGAUAGAUCAUUGCAAUUAUUAAUCUUCAACGAGGAAUGCCUAGUAGGCGCAAGUCAUCAGCUUGCGUCGAUUACGUCCCUGCCCUUUGUACACACCGCCCGUCGCUCCUACCGAUUGGGUGUGCUGGUGAAAUGUUCGGAUCGGCCGUUUGUCGCGGUUUCCGCGUCAUGUGGCUGAGAAGUUCAUUAAACCCUCCCACCUAGAGGAAGGAGAAGUCGUAACA